This 253-nucleotide ribosomal RNA is filed under the name uncultured bacterium. Its description in RNAcentral is "partial 16S ribosomal RNA". It matches the Rfam family "Bacterial small subunit ribosomal RNA", at positions 524 to 776 of the family's 1533-position model. The record is from RNAcentral.
UACGAAAGGGGCUAGCGCUCUUCGGAUUUACUGGGCGUAAAGCGCACGUAGGCGGUCUUGUAAGAUGGGGGUGAAAUCCCCGGGCUCAACCCGGGAACUGCCUGCAUGACUGCAAAGCUAGAGGAUGCGAGAGGGUGGCGGAAUUCCGAGUGUAGAGGUGAAAUUCGUAGAUAUUCGGAAGAACACCAGUGGCGAAGGCGGCCAACUGGCGCAUUUCUGCCGCUGUGGUGCGACAGCGUGGGGUGCAAACAGG